Long non-coding RNA from Rhinichthys klamathensis goyatoka, 281 nucleotides. RefSeq lists it as uncharacterized. The transcript is spliced from 3 exons. NCBI's taxonomy places the organism in Eukaryota, Metazoa, Chordata, Actinopteri, Cypriniformes, Leuciscidae. The record is from RefSeq and is a predicted model, not a curated record.
AGUUUCUCAACGUUUGGAGAUAGCAGUGGUCUGGUUUAGUGGGAGGGAUUUUGGGGUAUUAUUACAGCUCUCUCGUUGAUGUUUCUGACAAUUUGUGAGUUGUCACUCAGUCCUACAGGACGAUAUGCUCCUUCCACUGCUGUUAUGGACGACUUUGCUCUGUCACAUCUCCGACGGCCAGCCUUCCUCUCAAAGACACAAGAGGACAGUUUGGGGACCUUCUAUGCAAAUAGUUGACCAGUUUAUUGACCCGUCUCCGACGUAAGUACACAACUGUCUUC